UACGGGGGGGGCAAGCGUUGUUCGGAAUUACUGGGCGUAAAGGGCUCGUAGGCGGCCAACUCAGUCGGACGUGAAAUCCCUCGGCUUAACCGGGGAACUGCUUCCGAUACUGGAUGGCUUGAGUGUGGGAGAGGGAUGCGGAAUUCCAGGUGUAGCGGUGAAAUGCGUAGAUAUCUGGAGGAACACCGGUGGCGAAGGCGGCAUCCUGGACUACUACUGACGCUGAGUGAACGAAAGCUAGGGGAGCAAACAGG
RNAcentral lists this ribosomal RNA (254 nucleotides) under uncultured bacterium. RNAcentral describes it as "partial 16S ribosomal RNA". It matches the Rfam family "Bacterial small subunit ribosomal RNA", at positions 524 to 776 of the family's 1533-position model. The record is from RNAcentral.